This 1438-nucleotide long non-coding RNA is filed under the name Piliocolobus tephrosceles (Ugandan red Colobus). RNAcentral's name for it is "lncRNA (ENSPTEG00000008381.1)". Lineage: Eukaryota; Metazoa; Chordata; Mammalia; Primates; Cercopithecidae. The record is from RNAcentral.
AUGAUCAGGAAGCGGCCGCACCAGCAGGGCGGCGGUGGCGGCGGCGGCCAGGGCCGCCGCCACUCCAGCCGCUCUCCAGCCAGCCGCUCUCCAGGCACCCGCAUACCCGCUACCCCCGCGGCCACCCCUCCGCGCCCCCCGCCUGGCACCCGGCCGCGCGCAAAGUCCCGGCCAGGCUGCAGGAGCAGUCCUUUCCCCGCCCGCAGCCGCACACCCGGCGACACCGGCCCUCCGAGAGGAGACCCCCGCCCCGGGGCGCCGAGGCCGGGCGACCACCCGCGGGGAAGUCCAGCCCUCCCCGAGACCCUCUCUCUCUCACCGCCCUCUCCGGGGAGGAGGAAUGGGAAGAGGGCGGCCGGGAAAGGGACCACCCCCCCACCCCGGCCGCCGCCACCUCCCCCCUGCGCCACCCGGAGGGAGGAGGACAUAGCUCUCCGCACUCGCGACCGGACCAGCAGCCGGGGGGAGCGGGGCCCCUCCGCCGCUCUCCCCGCCCGCGCCCCCCGCCCGGGCGCGCCCCCUAGCCUGGCGGGCGCCCACCCAGCCCCUGACAGCCCCCUCGCCGGCCGCCCCUGCGCCCAGAGUGGGGGUGUCGGCCCGGGAGCCUGGAGCCGGGGACGGUUGUAUGUACACACACACACACACGCACACACACAGAACACGACGCGUCGAUUUCCUUCGCUCCUCUUCCAGCUGUUUUCCGUGCAGCCGAUUGGGGUUUGGGGUUUGUUUGCUGGUUGUUGCUUUUGCCCCUCUCGGGAGAUCGGGUCCGGAAAUCGGCUUUGAUAUGGAACUACUCCGCUCUAGCCUGGAAAGGAGACCCGCGCACUCCUCUCGCAGCUAAUUUGGGAUCAUUAAUUUAAUCGGAAAUGAGGUAACCAGUGUAGGAGACAGAGAAAGCAACCGGAGCAUCAAAUGGCAGUUCUCGACAAUCGACGAGGAACUUAAAUCUGGACUCAGGGUUUUAGUGCGGUCCCUGAAUCCCACCACCCGGUCCCUCCGCCUGUCCCGCCGCCAGGUGUGACCUCCACGCGAAGGAAUCUUCUGCGGAUGGGUGCACCUUGCCAACAGGUGUGGCACCUGGAGGAUUAAGAGGCGCCUCCAGACUAAGGGUGCUCAAUGUGGCGUUCUUGUUGCAGAUGAUUCUGGAAGGCCAGUAGGUGUCGGGAGACAUUUGACCUUCUGCAGGUGCUUAGAACUAAGUGUCUGGAAACAUGAUCCCUUCGCGUAAGUUUUUUUCUGAAAGACAACGCUCUUGACUGUAAGCUGUAUUUGAGAGACCUUUUGGCUGAGUUUACUUAAGAUCUAACGGUUAGUCACCAACUGAGGCAGGGCACAGGAUGACCCAAAAAAAAUGUGUCAGUUUUUACACAACUCUGGCCUGCAAGAGUCUACGUGCUUCAUAAAUAAAAAUAAACAUCCGAGCGAGGAAGGUGCA